Molecule: ribosomal RNA, 497 nt
Filed under: uncultured bacterium
Lineage: Bacteria
Description: partial 16S ribosomal RNA
Rfam family: Bacterial small subunit ribosomal RNA
Source: RNAcentral
GAUGAACGCUGGCGGCGUGCCUAAUACAUGCAAGUCGAGCGAACAGAUAAGGAGCUUGCUCCUUUGACGUUAGCGGCGGACGGGUGAGUAACACGUGGGUAACCUACCUAUAAGACUGGAAUAACUCCGGGAAACCGGGGCUAAUUCCGGAUAACAUUUAGAACCGCAUGGUUCUAAAGUGAAAGAUGGUUUUGCUAUCACUUAUAGAUGGACCCGCGCCGUAUUAGCUAGUUGGUAAGGUAACGGCUUACCAAGGCAACGAUACGUAGCCGACCUGAGAGGGUGAUCGGCCACACUGGAACUGAGACACGGUCCAGACUCCUGCGGGAGGCAGCAGUAGGGAAUCUUCCGCAGUGGGCGAAAGCCUGACAGAGCAACGCCGCGUGAGUGAUGAAGGUCUUCGGAUCGUAAAACUCUGUUAUUAGGGAAGAACAAAUGUGUAAGUAACUGUGCACGUCUUGACGGUACCUAAUCAGAAAGCCACGGCUAACUACGUG